Molecule: ribosomal RNA, 463 nt
Filed under: uncultured bacterium
Lineage: Bacteria
Description: partial 16S ribosomal RNA
Rfam family: Bacterial small subunit ribosomal RNA
Source: RNAcentral
GACGAACGCUGGCGGCGUGCUUAACACAUGCAAGUCGAACGGUGAACCUCUUCGGAGGGGGUCAGUGGCGAACGGGUGAGUAACACGUGGGCAACCUGCCCCCGGCUCUGGGAUAACUCCAAGAAAUUGGGGCUAAUACCGGAUGUUCACCGCUUCCCGCAUGGGUGGUGGUGGAAAGGGUUUCCGGCUGGGGAUGGGCCCGCGGCCUAUCAGCUUGUUGGUGGGGUAGUGGCCUACCAAGGCGACGACGGGUAGCCGGCCUGAGAGGGUGACCGGCCACACUGGGACUGAGACACGGCCCAGACUCCUACGGGAGGCAGCAGUGGGGAAUAUUGCGCAAUGGGCGGAAGCCUGACGCAGCGACGCCGCGUGGGGGAUGACGGCCUUCGGGUUGUAAACCUCUUUCAGCAGGGACGAAGCGCAAGUGACGGUACCUGCAGAAGAAGCACCGGCCAACUACGUG